Molecule: long non-coding RNA, 1475 nt
Filed under: Cucumis sativus (cucumber)
Lineage: Eukaryota; Viridiplantae; Streptophyta; Magnoliopsida; Cucurbitales; Cucurbitaceae
Description: long non-coding RNA (CSAT_LNC000853)
Source: RNAcentral
CAAAAUAUAAUAUGAAAAUUAAGUCUAUAACCUAACAUUUAAUCAAGAUAUUGAUUACAAUUUCAUUGUUGUCUGAUUAUUGUUUGAUGUACAUUAUUAUCUAAUUAUUAAUGACACUCAUUUCUUUCAACUAUUUUUUUUUUUGUCAAUUGCAAUUAAUCUAUGCAAUUUCUAAUUAUUCUUCAUUUUUGUAAUCUAUGUGACACUAUCGAUCAUCUCAUUACCACUAUGAAAAAUUAUCAUUAUUGGAAGCUUAACCACAACGACAAAAUACUGAGAUAGUAUUACUUUAUUAACUUUUGAUUGUCAUUUGAUUAAUUUUUUUUUAAAGAUUGACAUCUAAUUAUCAUACGACUGACAUGUGACUGUCUUAUAAAUUGACUUACAAAAAUAUACAAUGUUGAGUAAUUAAUCUAAUAAAGUAAUGUUGUUCUACUCCAUCCAAAUAGAAACAUAAUCAGAAGGUACCACACUAAAAAAACAAGACACUUUGAAAUACUUUUUUUAUCUCUUAAAACACAUUAAGAAAAAGAAAAGUAAUUGACGUUUAAUUACCAUAUGAUUUACAUGUGAUUAACGUAUAUUGAAAUGCGAAUGACAUGUAAUUGACAUCGGAUUAUCAUAUGAUUGUAUUUUAAAUUGUCCUACAAAAAUAUAAAAUGUUUAUUAAUUAACCUACUAAACUAAUUAAUAGAAAAUUGUAUUUGCAACUAACACAAAUGAAACUAAAAUCAAAUAUAAAUAAAAUGUCAAUCAAACUAAAAAUUUAACCAUGUACAUAUCCUACUUUCAUUGUUUUUAGUUAUGUGUUUACAACCUGUAAACAUAAUACUCAUGAAUUAGAGAGAAGCCUAAAAAAAUUAUACAAUGAUGCUGAGAUCAUGGUAGAACAUAGAAGGAGAAGAAGAAUAAAAUCGUACAAGAAAUCGUAAAGGAAGGAAAGACUACGAAAUCGAAUGAAAAAGGAGACCGAAAAUUCAAAAAUUCAAAAAUUACAGAAGAAGAAUAUGAAAAUGUUAGAGUUGGAUUGAUAUAAAAAUAAAAUCAGUAAAAGUAUGUCAAACAAAAAUUAAAGUUAUAUGUAUGGUUAGUGUUUUCUUUACAUAAUUGGAUGAACUUAAUAUUACCCAUGUUGAAGAAUCAACGAAUGAGAACAUGAACAGAAAAAAAAAAAGAAUGGAAGAGGUUGCUCACAAAUUCAUCCAUGGAAAUUCCUUCCUCCCUAGCUGCAGCUGAUUUAGUGGCCAAUUAUCAAAGCCACUUUCCUUUCAAAACACUUCACCAUUUUCCCUCUUCUCUCAUUCUUUCUCCUCAAGUGUCCCUCUAAUGGAUUCUUCCAAUAGCCUGAACAAGCCGGCCUCGAACACUCGUUACAAUCCCAGGAGAUAUGGUUGAGAUCGUUGGUGUGUAAAACAUUUGAGGGCAAAAACGGAAUAUGAAAAAAUGGAUCUUUUUUUGUCAAAGCUACAUUUUCU